UUUUUUUUUUUUUUUUNUUUUUUUGUCUUUUUGCCUUUUCUAGGGCCGCUUCCCACGGCAUAUGGAGGUUCCCAGGCUAGGGGUCUAAUUGGAGCCAUAGCCACUGGCCUACACCAGAGCCACAGCAACGUGGGAUCCGAGCCGCGUCUGCAAACUACACCACAGCUCAGGGCAACGCUGGAUCCUCAACCCACUGAGCAAGACCAAGGAUCGAACCCGCAACCUCAUGGUUCCUAGUCAGAUUUGUUAACCACUGUGCCACAAUGGGAACUCCAAGUACCUCCCUCAUUUUAAUUUUAUUUUUACCUACCUGCUAAAGAAAAAUGCUUUAUGGUAAUAGUAUAGCAGUUUUUAAGAAAUAGCAAGUGACUGGAGUUCCCACUGGGCGCAACAGGUUAAGGAUCCAGCAUUGUCUCUGUGGUGGUUCCAUCCCCCCCGCCCAGGGCAGUGGGUUAAGGAUCCAUUGUUGCUGCAAGCUGUGGCCUGGAUUUGAUCCUUGGCCCAAGUACUUAAAUAUGCUGUGAUUGCAGCUAGAAAAGGGGGGGAAAAAAAAGAAAAAUACCAAGUGACCAAAUUAGAUAACUUGUGUCCUGGCUGUAGAAAAAAGUUUUGGGAUUAGUUGAAGUGUCAUUGCCGCUGGAACAAAAAGUUUCCUUCUCUGCACUAGAUAUUUUAUUUUACUUGGAUUUUCUCUGGGCAAUACGUAAAGUAAAUAAAUUCUUAAAAUUGAGCCUUAGGUCAAACAAAGACAAUCUAAUGACAUUCUCAGGGAAACCAUAAAAAUUGGGCUAAGCUAAUAUGUUCAGUAGUCUUCUGGGUAACACUUUAAAAUAAUUGUAUUUUUAUUUCAAAAAUAAUGUGUCCAGUGUGGAACCUUUGCAAAAUACAGAAAAGAACAAAUAAGAAAGUUCAAUUAUGAGCUAAUUUUAAAUACUUAAGGCAGAUUUCUUGUAAAUUAUUAUGACUAAUAGGGAGAUAGCUGUAGUUAAAACUACUUUUAGAUUAUUAGUAUCUGCUGUAAGAGGGGAGAUUUUAUUCUUAAAUAUUAUUUGUGUACAUUCUGUAGUAUUUUUCAUCCCAGAAAGAACUUUGUUGUAAUUCUAGACACAGAGGGGCAGAUUUAGAUCUUGAAAAUUACUUGUGGUACUUACUGAAUGCUUGCAGUAUGACUUAGGGCCAUCCGCUGUAAAUAUUUGAAGCCACAAAAUUUCCCUUUGUUUCUCAUGUCACCUACUUUUGUUUAAUUGGGAUUUGAUAAGUUGUUUUACGAAGUAGUUUCUAGUAUGUUAAGAUUAUCCUUUUCUCCUGGUAUGUGUAUGAUAAAUUUCAGUAGAAGCUAGUUCCUAGUACACAAAGUAAACCAUCCUUUAAUCUACUUUGUACCCUGCCAAAAAAUUCCAAAUAAAGCAUAAUGUAUAUAUUUUCCACUAAGCCAGAAAUUCUCAAUCUGUAUUUAAGAGUUUGUGUUUUGUAUGCUGUUCCAAGAGGGUCUGGUAAUCCUGGGAUUAAAGAAACAUAAGAUUUAUGUUUGCUGUGGAGAAACAUGAUCAUCCCAGCCACUAUGAAUCACUCUGGAAACAUCCCAUCUCUUUUUCCCAGUUACUCAGAUCAUUCCAUCAAGUUCAAUUUGGUUUAACAAACAUGAAACACCUUUCAUAAUCUCCAAAAGCUUACAGUGAUAGAGAAAAGUCAGAUGUAUAAACAAUCAUAAUACAGUGUGAUAAGUACAAUGUAAGAUUUAAAAGAAGGAGUGGGGAGUUCCCAUCAUGGCUCAGUGGUUAACGAAUCCGACUAGGAACCAUGAGGUUGCAGGUUUGAUCCCUGGCCUUGCUCUCAGUGGGUUAAGCAUCCGGCAUUGCCGUGAGCUGUGGUGUAGAUCGCAGAUGUGGCUGGGAUCCCAAGUAGCUGUGGUGCUGGCGCCUACAGCUCCGAUUCAACCCCUAGCCUGGGAACCUCCAUAUGACACAGGAGGGGCCCUAGACAAGGCAAAAAGAUAAAUAAAUAAAUAAAUAAAUAAAUAAAUAAAUAAAUAAAUAAAUAAAAUAAAAGAAGGAGUGGUUAACUUUGGGAUUGGAUGGACUUCAAGAACACCUUAUACAAGUCAUAUUUGAGCUGAGUGAAGGAUGACGAAGUUCACCAGAACUCAGUAUGAAAGGACGGUCCUGGAGAAAGGAGAGCAGUGCAGAGCCCUGAUGAUAGGUCAUUUUAGCUGAUUAGCCUAGCGUGAAGCACUGUGAGGAGAGGAGUGCAGCAGAGGUGGUGUGAGCCAGAUCACUCGGGGCCAUGAUGAACAUGAAACGUGUGCAUGGUGAGGAGCCAGGGCAAGGUUUUCAGCAGAGGGGUAGUGUGAUCUUUCUGAAACAAAGCUGGAUCAUUUUGUGAUCAUGUUGGGAUGUAUGGGAGAGUGAAAUUUGUGAAAUACAUCUCAAAUCUCAUGUUGAGAUGUAUGGAGGCAGUUAGAAGGCCGAAUUGAGGCGGUAGCACAUUCAUCUAGGGUAUGUAUGUUUGAGAGGUAUGUAGGGGAAUUGACAGGACUUAAUUAAUUUCAUAAUUAAAUGAAAGGGUACAAGGCUUUAAUUUAGAAAAAUGUUAGGUAUAUUUUUAGUAUUGUUGACAUUUAAGAUCAUUUAAGCAUUAGAUUGGCUCAGGAAAGACUUAACAGGUAACUUGUAAAUAUGGAAAGAAAAAAAUAUUAAAUACAUUUUUAAUGAAGGUAACAUUUUAUAAGCAUGAAAUAAAUCAUUGGCUAAAAUGUCAUAGGUCUGCUAUUUGAAUUUAGAUUUGCAAGAUUGAUUUGCAGUAAUUUUUGUAUAAUAGUGGUUUCAAUAGAUAAGAAAUUUUAAAACUACCACAGCUAUAGCAUCUUCGAAAUGGAAUAUCCUACAGCUUUUUAAAUCAUGGUUAUAUUUUCUAUUAUUCUGUGCUUGAGCUUUUAUUGUAAAACAUCUUUCUGUCUGCAUACAAGCAAUGGCUGAAUUCCAGGAUCAAAGAUUUUAGAGGGAAUUUAGCAAUAUUCUUCAUCACAUAAUAUGCUCAUUAGAGCAAGCCUGGCCCACUCUGCUGGUGAUAGAAAAUGGUAUUUUCAGGUCAUCUGAGGGCUGACUUUCUAUUAAGAUGUUUAAUCCUUACUACUAAAUAAAAGUUAUUUAUAAACAUGGUGUCAAUUCUUUUCACAAGCACUUAUCCAGAAUCAGGGAUUCCUCCUUUUUCAUCACCAUGUAAUAAAAUUACUCAACCAUAUUGGUUUUAUGAUAAAUAAAUGCACUUUUCUGAAAAGCUUUACACUCAUCAGGAAGCAUUUAUUGAAUGUCUAUUUGUAGAACGCAAUUCUGACCAUCCUGAGGAAAAAAAAACUUCUCAAGGGCAAUUUUAUAAUCCAGCUGCAGAGACAGUAUAGACCUGUGAACUAAAAAGUAUUCAAUGAUAAACAUUUGGAUAAACAUUGAGGGAAUGCAGGGAAAAGGAACUAUCAGAAGAGAAAAAAUUUCCUAGAAGUAAGUUUUAAACAGCACUUAGAGAAAAAUUUUUUUAAUCAAGAUAUUUUCACUUCAGAUAUAUAAUUAUUAUUUGAAAUGAGGUUCCAGUAGGCUCUUUCUUCCCAGAGAAUAUCUCCUUAACAUCAAGAUCAGAAAAGCCUUUUUAUUUUUUAUUUUUUGUCUUUAGGGCCGCACCUGAGGCAUGUGGAAGUUCCUAGGCUAGGGGUCGAAUCAGAGCUACAGCUGCUGGCCUAGCCACAGCCACAGCAACACCGGAUAUGAGCUGUGUCGGCAACCUGCACCACAGUUCACAGCAACGCUGGAUCCUUAACCCACUGAGCAAGGCCGGAGAUCAAACCCAUGUCCUCAUGGAUCCUAGUCGAGUUUGUUACUGCUGAGCCACAACAGGGGCUCCAGAAAAAAGGCUUUUUUAAUCACUUCUUCCAUUAAGUCAUUUUGGAGAAGAACUAGGGCCAAAGUAGAGAUCUUAAUCUGGCAGCCGUGUGUUCCAUGUGGGUAAAUUGUCAUGGAGCCCAGAGUUUCCACAUGGGCCCUUAAACUUUUCUUGUGCCAUUAAUCCCUUUGGCAGUCUGGUCAAGCACAUGAAUCUCUCCUCAAAAUAAUAUUUUAAAGUUAGUACUAUGCCUAUUAUAUAGCAAUUAAAAGUUGUGAUACCUUUAUGGUUUUUGUUUUUUUUCAACACGUUGUAUAAUACUGUCUAGGACAGGAAUAACUACCAUACUAUGUAGUGUUGAAGGGAAAUGAUACUGCAACUACAUAACAUGACUUGUGUCUGAUUUCUUUUGGUGGUAAACCCACAGAUAUUGUUGAUACUGCUGUGGUUUAUGGCCUAUACUUAUAACUGAAAGAACUGGUAGGUUUCAAGUAGUGAUUAGUUAAAAUGAAGGUGUAAUUUUUUGUGGGUCCUUUGAUUUCUUUUCAUGGGUCACUUGGUGGUCCUAAGACCCCUAGUUAGGAAACUGUGUAGUUUAGCAAUUACUAAGAAGCCCUAGGAAGUAAAUGAAUGAACAGGGUGGUUCACCUUACCAAAUAAUCUACUUUUAUCUUGUUUUAUCUAUCAGAAUUUCACAUAAGAUUUCAUUUGAAAUAGAAAUGGUUUAUGGGGCUAAAUGUGUAAUUUUGAAAACAAUUGUAAACAAAAAAAUAUUGAUUCUUUAUCUUACUUUUUAACUUAAAACUUAACUUCCUUUAUAAACAUUCUCAGCAUGUUAGUGUACCAUUAAGUUUAUAACCCCGAAAAUAGAGAUUUAGAAGUCAACAGGAAAUAGUGGAAGGCGUGGAACACCAAUAAGACUGCCCAGCAAUAAUCCGUGUGAGUGUAGCCUGAGAUGAGGAACAGACUAAGAAGUAGCGAAGAAGAAGAAGUGAAGCCCUGGAAAGAAGACAGAGAGAGGUAGGAGAAGAACAUUUCCGUAACAUUAAAGAAGCAAAGGAUGUCAGUACUGUGGAGAUGUCAUAGAUGAUGACCAAAAAGAAUCCAGCAAACUUGGGCAGGAGGUGAGUGACCUUUCCUAUGGCAUUUUCAGCAGAGUGAGGUGGGCAGAUGCCAGAAUGAAAUGGCCUGAAGAGUGAAUAAGAGAUGAGGUGAAGAUAGUGUGGUAUAGACCGGUGCUUUUCAAAUGAAUGUGGUGAAACAGUAUCUGUAAUUUCCAACCUGUUAACUGACCGCAGUCCUGCCAUGCAUGUCUGGCGUGCCACUUACACCAUGUGUUAGGUACCCUAAGAACUGGAUGACAGCCAAACUGAUCUAGACUCUCUUAAGACAGGUCCACUGAUGCCAGGCUUGAAUGUCAUGGCCAUGUCACAUUGCUAUUCAAAUUUCUAAAUGCUUAUUCUUAAUUCUGUAUUGUAGUCUAGGUGCAGACUAUUCUUUCAAAAAGCUUACCUGUCAAGGAAGAGAGAGAAUAGCCCCUACUCUAUGGGGCUGACUUGUAGGAUUGAGAGAAGGUUUCUGCCAAUGUUAUUUCUUGCAACUUUCUCCUCUGAAUAUCUCCCGAUGUUCUUCAUGCUUCACAUUCUUUUCAGCCCCAACUUUGGAGCUCUAAUACCUAAAAUAGCUCCCUGGUACAUAGAAAGCAUUUAAAUUAAAAGGUUAUUAAAUGAAAAUUCAUGUGAACUGUGGAAGAUCUAAGUGGUCCUGUGUUUCCAGAUUUUACAGUAGAAUACCUCAUUUAAUCUCUGGAUAUUUAUUUUGCCUGUGGUCAGGGAAUUGUCAGGGAGAUGAUAAUUUUCACAGUUUUUGAGUGCUUUCAAUCACUACCCCCUGUUUUCAAAGAGGACAUCACUUACUCUUACUUAGUAGGACCUGUGCUUUGAGGGGUUUUGUUUGUUUUUUCAAAAUUGGGAGUGAAUAUGCCUCUUGCUUUGCCUCCUCUCCCCUCUUGGAGGACAGUUAUUAACAAAAUACUGGUCAGAUUUGGGUCUGUAUCAUGACCACAGAAUAAAGAGAACUGAAUUGACUGGCACAGAGCUCAAACCCAAGAGAAUAAUUUAACAGAAAGGACUUUGGUUUUCCACAAAACUCUUUACUUUCCUCUUUCUCUAAAGGGAGUGAUUUUCAAAUCUCCUCAUAUUUUUCUCAUCUACAGCAUUGCCCAUAGCCCACACAGAGGAACUCAAAUUUGUACCUGGAAAAAUGAGAAUUCUAAUCUAAAAUGUGGGCGAUAUGAAUAGGAACCAAAGAAAAGUGGACAAUUUCUGUCAUUCAGGCAGCAGACCUUUACUGAAUGCUUAAUAUGUGCCAGACACAUAUGUGCCAGAAACUUUAUGUAGGCUCGGGGACUACAAGCUCUACAUCAAGAUGAGAGAAGGAAGAUCCAAAUAAAGAUUUACAGACUUUACUGUCUGCGGUAUUCCUGGACCAAAGUCGGUGAAACUAGGUAGGUGGGCAUCCAAACUGGUAAUCCAACUGUCCAAUCUGUGGUUGAUUUUAUUAGAGUGAUGAAUUCUAUGGAUAGUUAAAUUAACAGAAAACAAAACAGAUAAUUCAAACUAUCAUAACUUAUUUUUUAAGGUAGCAGGAACUUCAGCUCAUGUAAUGCACAAGGAAGCCUAUUCUACAGCAAAAUAAGGAAUCUUAUUUACUGGGAGUUCCUACUGUGGUGAAGUGGGUUCCUACUGUGGUGAAUCCAAACACAGUGGCUUGGGUCGCUGCAGAGGUGCAGGUUCAAUCCCCAGCCGGUGCAGUGGGUUAAGGAGCCAGUGUUGCUGCAGCUGUGACUCAGAUUCAGUCCCUGGCUGGGGAACCCUCUGUGAGCAGCAAGUGAGGCCAUUAAAAAAAAAAAAAGAAAAAAAA
Molecule: long non-coding RNA, 6792 nt
Filed under: Sus scrofa (pig)
Lineage: Eukaryota; Metazoa; Chordata; Mammalia; Artiodactyla; Suidae
Description: lncRNA (ENSSSCG00045008944.1)
Source: RNAcentral